GUGCAGCAGGCGAGAAACUCCGCAAUGCGCGAAAGCGUGACGGGGAACCCAAGUGCCGUUGGUCUAUUGAUCGACGGCUUCUCGGGAGUUUAGGGAGCUCCCGGAAUAAGGGCUGGGUAAGUCGGGUGCCAGCCGCCGCGGUAAUACCCGCAGCCCAAAUGGUGGUCGCGAUUAUUGGGCCUAAAGCGCUCGUAGCCGGGUCGGCAAGUCCCUUGUGAAAUCGGGCGGCUUAACCGUUCGGCUUGCAAGGAAUACUGUUGGCCUUGAGGCCGGGAGACGCCGAGGGUACUCCGGGGGUAGCGGUGAAAUGUUCUAAUCCUCGGGGGACCACCAGUGGCGAAGGCGCUCGGCGAGAACGGACCUGACGGUGAGGGGCGAAGGCUAGGGGAGCGAACGGGGAUUAGAUA
Molecule: ribosomal RNA, 407 nt
Filed under: uncultured microorganism
Description: bacterial SSU rRNA
Rfam family: Archaeal small subunit ribosomal RNA
Source: RNAcentral